UAGCACCUCUUUUUAUUUAUUUUGUUGAGAAUAAUUUUACGUGUCAACAUUUUACAUUGUCAACAUUCACAAUUUACUCCUAAAAAAAAGUUCACAAAAGUUAGGAGUGUGCCAACUUAUAAUAUACCAUAUGCUUUAAAUUUUCCAUUAAACUUUACUUCAAAAAUAUUUUGUUUAAUACUAUACAUAGUUUGUGUGUCGUAUCUUAAUCUAUAAUCCAUAAAAUCGAACAUUAGAUUUGUGUUCAUUUUAAAUCCUCUUAAUACCUCUCUUCCACUUAGUUAAAGUUAGAAAACACCAAGAUUAGCCAACCCACACUUCGUGGCUCGAGCUUUCUGCUUAGGAAUCAAGAGACAGGU
This 359-nucleotide long non-coding RNA is filed under the name Trifolium pratense (red clover). RNAcentral's name for it is "long non-coding RNA (TPRA_LNC001526)". Lineage: Eukaryota; Viridiplantae; Streptophyta; Magnoliopsida; Fabales; Fabaceae. The record is from RNAcentral.